CUCUUCUACUCCAUCCUUAGCAGGCUUGGGGUUUCAUAGAGCAAUAGUUCCUCACCUCUUUGAGAUGAGUAGUAAGUUCCAUUUUCCCAUAAAUUUACAUCAAGAAAAACCACUUUUAUAUAACUAUGAAAAAAUGACAUAACUGCAUGGUACUUAUUUUCAUUGUUGCUUUAAAAAUUUAUAAAUAAGAAACAUAAGCCCAUAACUUCAGCCAUUCAUUUCUCAAUUAUUUCAAGGGACAUAGGUUACACAUGAGGCUGGAGGUACAGGUGAAGGUCAUCCUAACUGGACAGCAGGAAACUGGCCCUGCCAUUAACUACCAAGUAACCUCAGGCAAGUUCUGAACCUCCCUCUCCCUAUCCCCCCUCAAGGGCCUAGGGCUCUGUGACCAUGCACUUCUUCAGGCAGUUGCUUUCAAUAGCGACUCCUCCUGUCUUUAGAUAACCAAAAACAGCCAAAUGAACCAGAAGGAGCCUGGCCCUCUUUGCUCUUUGUUCUUGAGAUCAUCCUAUUACUAGGAAAGUAGCCAAAAGAUAAGCAGCAGACAGAAGGAGGAAGCCCCAUCAGAACAAUCAGUCCCUAAAGUGGAUUUCACCCCAGGUGAGGCAAACCAUGGCUUUAGCCUCCUGCCAUUUGCCCAGAAAGCCUGUGGCUGUCUUUGUAAUUGUCCCUGUCCACAGGACCGUGUCUGCCUUCUGGGUGGCCUGCUUGGCUUUCCUGCCCAACAAAUACCUGUGCUUUAGAUCAGCCUCUUACUGCUCCCCUCCUGAAAUGUGCUUCCUCCCUCCUGCCUGGGGGCCCAGUCAGACCCAGUCUUCCAGGCCACUCAGUCCCCUCCUGUGUCCCUGCACAAUUUUGCUCCUUGGGUCCGUUUCCCGCCUACCGCCAUCUUCACUGAAUCCUCAUAGUGCAUUAUGACAGGGCCUCAGAACAGAAGCCACUAAUUCUCAUUUCCUAGUUUCUUUGAGCUGCUGACAAAAUACCACAGACUGGAUCACAAGCAACAGACAUUAGCUGUUCCCAGUUCUGGAAGCCAGAAAGUAGGACUGAAGAAGAGGGUUUCUAGUAAGAGCCCACUUUCUGUUUUAUAGAUGGUGCCAUCUAGCUGUGCCCUUACCUGCUGGAAGGGGCAGGGGAGCCCUUUGGAGACCUGUUUUAUAAGAGCACUAAUCCAGCUCACAAGGGCUCCACCCUCAAGACCUAAUUACUUCCCAAUCCCACUUC
This 1224-nucleotide long non-coding RNA is filed under the name Marmota monax (woodchuck). Lineage: Eukaryota; Metazoa; Chordata; Mammalia; Rodentia; Sciuridae. The record is from RNAcentral.